GACGAACGCUGGCGGCGUGCUUAACACAUGCAAGUCGAACGGUGAAGCGCCUUCCUUUUUGGUGGGUGUGGAUGAGUGGCGAACGGGUGAGUAACACGUUAGUAACCUGCCCCCUUCUUCUGGAUAACCGCAUGAAAGUGUGGCUAAUACGGGAUAUUCUGGGUCUGUCGCAUGAUGGGUCUGGGAAAGAUUUUGUUUCGGUUGGGGAUGGGCUCGCGGCCUAUCAGCUUGUUGGUGGGGUGAUGGCCUACCAAGGCGGUGACGGGUAGCCGGCCUGGGAGGGUGGACGGUCUCACAGGGACUGAGACACGGCCCAGACUCCGACGGGAGGCAGCAGUGGGGAGUAUUGCACAGUGGGCGAAAGCCUGAUGCAGCGACGCCGCGUGAGGGAUGGAGGCCUUCGGGUUGUGAACCUCUUUCGCCAGUGAAGCAGGCCUGCCUCGUUUGUGGGUGGGUUGACGGUAGCUGGAUAAGAAGCGCCGGCUAACUACGUG
RNAcentral lists this ribosomal RNA (494 nucleotides) under uncultured bacterium. RNAcentral describes it as "partial 16S ribosomal RNA". It matches the Rfam family "Bacterial small subunit ribosomal RNA", at positions 28 to 507 of the family's 1533-position model. The record is from RNAcentral.